Molecule: ribosomal RNA, 253 nt
Filed under: uncultured bacterium
Lineage: Bacteria
Description: partial 16S ribosomal RNA
Rfam family: Bacterial small subunit ribosomal RNA
Source: RNAcentral
UACGAAGGGGGCUAGCGUUGCUCGGAAUCACUGGGCGUAAAGGGCGCGUAGGCGGCUUGCCAAGUCAGGGGUGAAAUCCUGCAGCUUAACUGUAGAAGGGCCUUUGAUACUGGCGAGCUCGAGGGAGGUAGGGGUAUGUGGAACUUCCGGUGGAGCGGUGAAAUGCGUUGAUAUCGGAAGGAACGCCGGUGGCGAAAGCGACGUACUGGACCUCUUCUGACGCUGAGGCGCGAAAGCUAGGGGAGCAAACGGG